Non-coding RNA from Ciona savignyi (Pacific transparent sea squirt), 74 nucleotides. NCBI's taxonomy places the organism in Eukaryota, Metazoa, Chordata, Ascidiacea, Phlebobranchia, Cionidae. The record is from Rfam.
UCCUACAUGGUUCUAGUGUGUUAGGAUUCCUGGCUUUCACCCAGGCGGCCCGGGUUCGAUUCCCGGUGUAGGAA